Molecule: ribosomal RNA, 497 nt
Filed under: uncultured bacterium
Lineage: Bacteria
Description: partial 16S ribosomal RNA
Rfam family: Bacterial small subunit ribosomal RNA
Source: RNAcentral
GAUGAACGCUGGCGGCGUGCCUAAUACAUGCCAGUCGAGCGAACGGACGAGAAGCUUGCUUUUCUGAUGUUAGCGGCGGACGGGUGAGUAACACGUGGAUAACCUACCUAUAAGACUGGGAUAACUUCGGGAAACCGGAGCUAAUACCGGAUAAUAUUUUGAACCGCAUGGUUCAAAAGUGAAAGACGGUCUUGCUGUCACUUAUAGAUGGAUCCGCGCUGCAUUAGCUAGUUGGUAAGGUAACGGCUUACCAAGGCAACGAUGCAUAGCCGACCUGAGAGGGUGGUCGGCCACACUGGAACUGAGACACGGUCCAGACUCCUACGGGAGGCAGCAGUAGGGAAUCUUCCGCAAUGGGCGAAAGCCUGACGGAGCAACGCCGCGUGAGUGAUGAAGGUCUUCGGAUCGUAAAACUCUGUUAUUAGGGAAGAACAUAUGUGUAAGUAACUGUGCACAUCUUGACGGUACCUAAUCAGAAAGCCACGGCUAACUACGUG